AUGGAGCAGCUUUGGAAACUAGUUAUUGCUGCUACAAGAAAUAUUACUACCAAAAGGAACAUCAGAACUGUUGUUGAUGUUUGGGGAUUGUAUCUGUUUGUUAGUAAGAAGGACCAGUUGGCUUAACUUUGUAAUAAAGUUGAUAUAG
This 148-nucleotide long non-coding RNA is filed under the name Monodelphis domestica (gray short-tailed opossum). RNAcentral describes it as "lncRNA (ENSMODG00000045363.1)". Lineage: Eukaryota; Metazoa; Chordata; Mammalia; Didelphimorphia; Didelphidae. The record is from RNAcentral.